AUGAAGGAAGUGGUAAGAAAGGAGAUAUUAAAGCUCCUUGAGGCAGGUAUUAUUUAUCCCGUUGCUGAUAGUGAAUGGGUAAGUCCUGUCCAUUGUGUUCCUAAAAAGGGAGGUAUUACCAUUGUUCCUAAUGAUAAAGAUGAAUUGAUCCCGCAGAGAAUUAUUACAGGUUAUAGGAUGGUAAUUGAUUUCCGUAAGUUAAAUAAAGCUACUAAGAAAGAUCAUUACCCUUUACCUUUUAUUGAUCAAAUGCUAGAAAGACUAUCCAAACACACACAUUUCUGCUUUCUAGAUGGUUAUUCUGGUUUCUCUCAGAUACCUGUGUCAGCGAAGGAUCAAUCUAAAACUACUUUUACUUGCCCUUUUGGUACUUUUGCUUAUAGACGUAUGCCUUUUGGUUUAUGUAAGGCACCUGCUACCUUUCGGAGAUGCAUGAUGGCUAUAUUCUCUGAUUUUUGUGAAAAGAUUUGUGAGAGAUGCGAAGACACUAGUCUCGUCCUGAAUUGGGGAAAGUGUCACUUUAUGGUUAAUGAAGGCAUUGUCUCGGGGCACAAGAUCUCUGAGAGAGGUAUUGAAGUUGAUAAAGCCAAAGUUGAUGCUAUUGAAAAGAUGCCAUGUCCCAAGGACAUAAAAGGUAUAAGAAGUUUUCUUGGUCACGCCGGUUUUUAUAGGAGGUUCAUUAAGGACUUUUCUAAAAUCUCUAGGCCUCUGACUAACUUAUUGCAAAAAGAUAUUCCUUUUGUCUUUGAUGAUGAUUGUGUAGAAGCAUUUGAAAUAUUUAAGAAAGCUUUGAUCACUGCACCUAUUGUCCAGCCUCCUGAUUGGAAUUUACCUAUUGAAAUUAUGUGUGAUGCUAGUGAUUAUGCUGUAGGUGUUGUUGUAGGGCAAAGAGUUGAUAAGAAAUUGAAUGUUAUCCAGUAUGCUAGUAAGACUCUUGAUACUGCCCAGAGAAAUUAUGCUACUACUGAAAAAGAAUUCUUAGCAGUUGUGUUUGCAUGUGAUAAGUUCAGACCUUAUAUCGUUGAUUCUAAAGUUACUAUUCACACUGAUCAUGCUGCUAUUAAAUAUCUUAUGGAAAAGAAAGAUGCUAAGCCUAGACUCAUUAGAUGGGUUCUCUUGCUCCAAGAAUUUGAUUUGCAUAUUAUUGAUAGAAAGGGAGCUGAGAACCCCGUUGCAGAUAACUUGUCUAGGUUAGAGAAUGUUCUUGAUGACCCACUGCCUAUUAAUGAUAGCUUUCCCGAUGAACAAUUAGCGGUCGUCAAUGCUUCUUGUACUGCUCCUUGGUAUGCUGAUUAUGCUAAUUACAUUGUUGCUAAAUUUAUACCGCCUAGUUUCACAUACCAGCAAAAGAAAAAGUUCUUUUAUGAUUUAAGACAUUACUUCUGGGAUGAUCCACACCUUUAUAAAGAAGGAGUAGAUGGUGUUAUUAGACGUUGUGUGCCUGAGCAUGAAAAUGAACAGAUUCUACGUAAGUGUCACUCUGAAUCUUAUGGAGGACAUCACGCUGGAGAUAGAAUUGCACACAAGGUACUACAAUCUGAUUUUUAUUGGCCUACUCUCUUCAAAGAUGCUCGUAAGUUUGUCUUAUCUUGUGAUGAAUGCCAAAGAGUAGGUAACAUUAGUAGACAUCAAGAAAUGCCUAUGAAUUAUUCUCUUGUUAUUGAACCAUUUGAUGUUUGGGGCUUUGAUUAUAUGGGACCUUUUCCUGCCUCUAAUGGUUAUACACAUAUUUUAGUUGCUGGUGAUAACAUUACUAAGUGGGUAGAAGCUAUUCCAACUAGUAGUGCUGAUCAUAACACUUCUAUUAAAAUUCUUAAAGAAGUUAUUUUUCCGAGGUUUGGAGUCCCUAGAUAUCUUAUGACUGAUGGUGGUUCACAUUUUAUUCAUGGUGCUUUCCAUAAGAUGCUUGCUAAGUACGAUGUCAAUCAUAGAAUCGCAUCUCCUUAUCAUCCGCAGUCUAGUGGUCAAGUAGAGUUGAGCAAUAGAGAGCUUAAAUUAAUUUUGCAAAAGAUUGUGAAUAGAUCUAGAAAGAAUUGGUCCAAAAAACCUGAUGAUGCAUUAUGGGCCUAUAGAACUGCAUACAAAAAUCCUAUGGGUAUGUCUCCAUAUAAGAUGGUUUAUGGAAAAGCGUGUCAUUUACCUCUUGAACUUGAACAUAAGGCAUAUUGGGCUAUUAAAGAGCUCAAUUAUGACUUCAAACUUGCCGGUGAGAAGAGGUUGUUUGAUAUUAGCUCACUUGAUGAAUGGAGAACCCAAGCAUAUGAGAAUGCCAAGCUGUUCAAAGAAAAAUUUAAACGCUGGCAUGAUAAGAGGAUACAAAAGCGUGAGUUUAACGUAGGAGACUAUGUAUUAUUAUUCAACUCUCGUUUAAAAUUUUUUGCAGGAAAACUUCUCUCAAAAUGGGAAGGUCCUUACGUUAUCGAGGAGGUCUAUCAUUCUGGUGCCAUAAAAAUCAACAACUUCGAAGGCACGAGUCCGAGGGUGGUAAACGGUCAAAGAAUUAAACAUUAUAUCUCAGGUAAUCCUAUCAAUGUUGAAACUAAUAUUAUUGAAACCGUAACCCCUGAGGAAUACAUAAGGGACACUUUCCAGAAUGUUCCAGACUCUGAAAAGGUAUAG
RNAcentral lists this ribosomal RNA (2619 nucleotides) under Triticum aestivum (bread wheat). RNAcentral's name for it is "partial small subunit ribosomal RNA". Lineage: Eukaryota; Viridiplantae; Streptophyta; Magnoliopsida; Poales; Poaceae. The record is from RNAcentral.